This 258-nucleotide ribosomal RNA is filed under the name uncultured bacterium. RNAcentral's name for it is "partial 16S ribosomal RNA". It matches the Rfam family "Bacterial small subunit ribosomal RNA", at positions 524 to 776 of the family's 1533-position model. The record is from RNAcentral.
GACAGAGGUGCCAAGCGUUAGGCGGAAUCACUGGGCUUAAAAGGCGCGUGUAGGCGGACCAGCAAGUCGGACGAUGAAAUCCCGUGAGCUAACUCAGGAACUGCAUCCGAAACUGCUGGUCUGGAGUGGUGGAGAGGGAAGCAGAAUUCCUGGUGUAGAGGUGAAAUUCGUAGAUAUCAGGAGGAACACCGGUGGCGAAGGCGGCUUCCUGGACACUUACUGACGCUGAGAACGGCGAAAGCGUGGGGAGCAAACAGG